RNAcentral lists this transfer RNA (70 nucleotides) under Dipodomys ordii (Ord's kangaroo rat). It matches the Rfam family "tRNA". Rfam says of the family: Transfer RNA (tRNA) molecules are approximately 80 nucleotides in length. Their secondary structure includes four short double-helical elements and three loops (D, anti-codon, and T loops). Further hydrogen bonds mediate the characteristic L-shaped molecular structure. tRNAs have two regions of fundamental functional importance: the anti-codon, which is responsible for specific mRNA codon recognition, and the 3' end, to which the tRNAs corresponding amino acid is attached (by aminoacyl-tRNA synthetases). tRNAs cope with the degeneracy of the genetic code in two manners: having more than one tRNA (with a specific anti-codon) for a particular amino acid; and 'wobble' base-pairing, i.e. permitting non-standard base-pairing at the 3rd anti-codon position. Lineage: Eukaryota; Metazoa; Chordata; Mammalia; Rodentia; Heteromyidae. The record is from Rfam by way of RNAcentral.
GGGAAUGUGGCUCAGUGGUAGAGUGCAUGUCUAGCAUGCAUGAAGGCCUGGGUUCGAUUCCUCAGCACCA